RNAcentral lists this ribosomal RNA (493 nucleotides) under uncultured bacterium. RNAcentral describes it as "partial 16S ribosomal RNA". It matches the Rfam family "Bacterial small subunit ribosomal RNA", at positions 28 to 507 of the family's 1533-position model. The record is from RNAcentral.
GACGAACGCUGGCGGCGUGCUUAACACAUGCAAGUCGAACGGUGAAGCACCUUCCUUUUGGUGGGUGUGGAUGAGUGGCGAACGGGUGAGUAACACGUGAGUAACCUGCCCCCUUCUUCUGGAUAACCGCAUGAAAGUGUGGCUAAUACGGGAUAUUCUGGGUCUGUCGCAUGGCGGGCCUGGGAAAGAUAUUGUUUCGGUGGGGGAUGGGCUCGCGGUCUAUCAGCUUGUUGGUGGGGUGAUGGCCUACCAAGGCGGUGACGGGUAGCCGGCCUGAGAGGGUGGACGGUCACACUGGGACUGAGACACGGCCCAGACCCCUACGGGAGGCAGCAGUGGGGAAUAUUGCACAAUGGGCGCAAGCCUGAUGCAGCGACGCCGCGUGAGGGAUGGAGGCCUUCGGGUUGUAAACCUCUUUCGCCAGUGAAGCAGGCCUGUCCCUUUUGUGGGUGGGUUGACGGUAGCUGGAUAAGAAGCGCCGGCUAACUACGUG